GCUCUGGAUAUCAUAUCAAACAUACAGAAGGUGAAGUGGGACCAUAACAUAAUAUGGUACAUCCAUUUCUGAAUGACCACCAAACAUAAGUCUCCCACGUCUGGGAGCUCCAUCCACCCACGCCUGAGUGAAGUCAUAAGGGCCGGCAGAGCAUCUCAGGCUCUAUGCAUAACUCCCUUCACCAUUUCCGGCAAAGGUUCACAAUAUCCCACAAACACCAGAGUACAAAAGGAUAGUAUGAACA
This 244-nucleotide long non-coding RNA is filed under the name Musa acuminata (dwarf banana). RNAcentral's name for it is "long non-coding RNA (MACU_LNC010458)". Lineage: Eukaryota; Viridiplantae; Streptophyta; Magnoliopsida; Zingiberales; Musaceae. The record is from RNAcentral.